RNAcentral lists this ribosomal RNA (496 nucleotides) under uncultured bacterium. Its description in RNAcentral is "partial 16S ribosomal RNA". It matches the Rfam family "Bacterial small subunit ribosomal RNA", at positions 28 to 506 of the family's 1533-position model. The record is from RNAcentral.
GAUGAACGCUGGCGGCGUGCCUAAUACAUGCAAGUCGAGCGAACAGACGAGGAGCUUGCUCCUCUGACGUUAGCGGCGGACGGGUGAGUAACACGUGGAUAACCUACCUAUAAGACUGGGAUAACUUCGGGAAACCGGAGCUAAUACCGGAUAAUAUAUUGAACCGCAUGGUUCAAUAGUGAAAGACGGUUUUGCUGUCACUUAUAGAUGGAUCCGCGCCGCAUUAGCUAGUUGGUAAGGUAACGGCUUACCAAGGCAACGAUGCGUAGCCGACCUGAGAGGGUGAUCGGCCACACUGGAACUGAGACACGGUCCAGACUCCUACGGGAGGCAGCAGUAGGGAAUCUUCCGCAAUGGGCGAAAGCUUGACGGAGCAACGCCGCGUGAGUGAUGAAGGUCUACGGAUCGUAAAACUCUGUUAUUAGGGAAGAACAAAUGUGUAAGUAACUAUGCACGUCUUGACGGUACCUAAUCAGAAAGCCACGGCUAACUACGU